This 947-nucleotide non-coding RNA is filed under the name Paedocypris carbunculus. RNAcentral's name for it is "12S ribosomal RNA". It matches the Rfam family "Bacterial small subunit ribosomal RNA". Lineage: Eukaryota; Metazoa; Chordata; Actinopteri; Cypriniformes. The record is from RNAcentral.
CAAAGGCUUGGUCCUGACUUUAAUAUCAGCUUUAACACGAUUUACACAUGCAAGUAUCCGCAACCCUGUGAAAAUGCCCUUAAUUCCAUGCUCUGGGACGAGGAGCCGGUAUCAGGCACACAUAGCCAGCCCAAGACACCUUGCAAAGCCACACCCCCAAGGGAUCUCAGCAGUGAUAAAAAUUAAGCAAUAAGUGAAAACUCGACUUAGUUAGUGUUUAAAGGGCCGGUAAAACUCGUGCCAGCCACCGCGGUUAUACGAGAGGCCCAAGUUGAUAAUCACGGCGUAAAGGGUGGUUAGGGGAAUAUAAAAUAAAGUUAAAGAGCCCCUUAGCCGUUAUACGCUUUUAGGGUUUUGAAGCCCGCACACGAAAGUAACUUUAAUUCAUCCAACCCGACCCCACGAAAGCUAAGAAACAAACUGGGAUUAGAUACCCCACUAUGCUUAGUUAUAAACCUAGAUAAGUAAUUACUACCACGAUCCGCCAGGGUACUACGAGCAUUAGCUUAAAACCCAAAGGACUUGGCGGUGCCUUAGAUCCACCUAGAGGAGCCUGUUCUAGAACCGAUAAUCCCCGUUAAACCUCACCACUACUAGCCACUACCCGCCUAUAUACCGCCGUCGUCAGCUUACCCUGUGAAGGAAUUGUAGUAAGCAGAUUAGUAAAACCAAAAACGUCAGGUCGAGGUGUAGCGCAUGCAGUGGAAAGAAAUGGGCUACAUUUUCUACAUUAGAAUACAACGAACAGUAUUAUGAAAUUACAACUUAAAGGAGGAUUUAGCAGUAAAAAAGAAAUAGAGUGUCUUUUUGACCAGGCUCUAAGGCGCGCACACACCGCCCGUCACUCUCCCCAGUCAAUAACAUAAACAUACAUAAUAUAAUCAAAAAGACAAGGGGAGGCAAGUCGUAACAUGGUAAGUAUACCGGAAGGUGUACUUGGAUCAAAA